GACAAUUGUAAAUGUGUUUAUUUAUAGUAAUGGAUCUCGAUCCCGACCGAGAGGUAGCUGAUGAUCUUGAGAGUGUAGCGCCUGCUCCCGCACAAGGGACAGCGCCGGCGGACUCUCAACCUCAUGCUAGUAACCCGAAUGAGGAAGCUAGACAAGCUUUCUAUAGCGUGAUGAAUGAUUGGUUCAACCAAUACAUUCGAACUAAUACGGCUGUUCCACAACCUCCCUUCCCGAC
This 235-nucleotide long non-coding RNA is filed under the name Gossypium barbadense (sea-island cotton). Its description in RNAcentral is "long non-coding RNA (GBAR_LNC000351)". The record is from RNAcentral. Lineage: Eukaryota; Viridiplantae; Streptophyta; Magnoliopsida; Malvales; Malvaceae.